UGGGGAAUCUUGCACAAUGGGGGAGACCCUGAUGCAGCGACGCCGCGUGAACGAUGAAGCCCUUCGGGGUGUAAAGUUCUUUCGACAGGAACGAUAAUGACGGUACCUGGAGAAGAAGCUGCGGCUAACUACGUGCCAGCAGCCGCGGUAAUACGUAGGCAGCGAGCGUUGUUCGGAGUUACUGGGCGUAAAGAGUGCGUAGGCGGCGAGCCAAGUUUGGUGUGAAAUCUCCCGGCUUAACCGGGAGGGUGCGCCGAAAACUGGUUGGCUGGAGUAUGGGAGAGGAAAGCGGAAUUCCUGGUGUAGCGGUGAAAUGCGUAGAUAUCAGGAGGAACACCGGCGGUGUAGACGGCUUGCUAGACCAUAACUGACGCUGAGGCACGAAAGCGUGGGUAGCAAACA
Molecule: ribosomal RNA, 402 nt
Filed under: uncultured bacterium
Lineage: Bacteria
Description: bacterial SSU rRNA
Rfam family: Bacterial small subunit ribosomal RNA
Source: RNAcentral